This 253-nucleotide ribosomal RNA is filed under the name uncultured bacterium. RNAcentral's name for it is "partial 16S ribosomal RNA". It matches the Rfam family "Bacterial small subunit ribosomal RNA", at positions 524 to 776 of the family's 1533-position model. The record is from RNAcentral.
UACGAAGGGGGCUAGCGUUGUUCGGAUUUACUGGGCGUAAAGCGCACGUAGGCGGAUCGAUCAGUCAGGGGUGAAAUCCCAGGGCUCAACCCUGGAACUGCCUUUGAUACUGUCGAUCUGGAGUAUGGAAGAGGUGAGUGGAAUUCCGAGUGUAGAGGUGAAAUUCGUAGAUAUUAGGAAGAACACCAGUGGCGAAGGCGGCUCACUGGUCCGGUACUGACGCUGAGGUGCGAAAGCGUGGGGAGCAAACAGG